AGGCUGCAGCUAAAUCAAUCCACAGAAGUUUACUGGUCGGUCGUUGUUUCAGAUCUAAUCUGAUUUUCGUCGACGAAUCUGCUUACCGAACUUCUUACAUUU
Cucumis sativus (cucumber) is the source of this 102-nucleotide non-coding RNA. Lineage: Eukaryota; Viridiplantae; Streptophyta; Magnoliopsida; Cucurbitales; Cucurbitaceae. The record is from Rfam.